Long non-coding RNA from Arabidopsis thaliana (thale cress), 941 nucleotides. RefSeq annotates it as other RNA. The record is from RefSeq. Lineage: Eukaryota; Viridiplantae; Streptophyta; Magnoliopsida; Brassicales; Brassicaceae. The transcript has a single exon.
GUUUUUUCCGUAACGCAUGACAAUUUUUAUAACAAAAAUAUAUUCACACUCUAAUGUUAACGACACUCAUCUUGUUCUUGAGAACAAAUAGUUGAAUAUCAUUUUCGUAUUAUAACAUUUAAUGAAAAGAGUUUUCUAUCUCUUCUCUCUUUCAUAUCUUUUACAGAGAGGGAGCUCUGUUUUUCUUUUGUAAUCUCCGUCUUCAAUCAGAGCUUUUUGGUUUGUGUUUUAGAUUUCCUGUUUUGAUGCCGGUUUCUCUUUCCGACUUGUUCGGAUUUACUUUCUUUCUUUCUCUUUUGGUUGCCUUUUGCAGGCUCAAAUUAACUCUUCCAAUUUCGGGAAGAUGAAAAUUCCAGAAGUCAUCAAAUGGAUCCUUGUUCAUUGAGUGCUUGAUUCUUCUCCCAAGUGAAGGUAAUUCCUUGCUCCGCCAAAAGGGCUUGUUUAGAGCAUCGGUUCUCCUUGGUGGAUUGAUCAAGUUGAUGCGGUUGAUUGGGACGGAGUAUGAAGAAUUGGAGUCUUCGUCUUGUUCUGAUGAAUAUUUCGGGCUAAUCGGCUGAGGUUACAAAUUCUCGUGAUCAAGUUUAGGUCCAACCAAUCUCUUCUGGUGAUCUAUGGCAAAAGGCGAGUAGGUACAAUCGAAGGCAGAGAUAGAGGUUUCUUGGAGGACUGAGUUGAUCUGCCGGCUGGUGAAGGAAGUUUCCGGUGAUGAUGAGUCGGUGACAGCUGAUGAAGGAAGUUUCCGGUGAUGAUGAGUCGGUGACGGCGAAACCUUUUUCUUCUCUCAACAUCCCACAUUGCAUAACACGUAUCUCUUUUUUAUUUUUCUUAUCUUGUGUUUUGCAAUUAGUGGGCUAACUUUUGGCCAUCUUCUGUACCGAAUAUCUGCCCAUUUGGGCUUUUAUAAAACAUAUUAGGCCGACAAAAAAGAAAAAAAGAAAAAA